GCUCGAUAAAGCAUCCUUAAGCCACAAAAGGAGCUUUAUUCUCUUCCAGCUGGUCUGCACUCGAGCCAAAGGGAUGCGCUGAAAGCAGCUCUCCGCAGCGGGCCCCUCGUCACACAAUGCGCCCGUUCUUUGAAGGACUUGGCCAACGGCAAUUAAACCUGCCGGGCCCGUGUAAAGCCGGAGAGGGUAUCAUUUCCAGAGAGGGCAAAGCAGAGGUGCAGAGGAGCGGGGUGGGGGCAGGUGGGCAGCCUGGAAAACCAGCUGCAUGGACACACAGAAGCCAAGUCCCCGCUGGCAGGGCCCUACCCCCUCCCAAGGUUUGGGAGGCCGCUCAUUCGGAUGGACAAAAAGGUCCGGGACCCGCAUGUGGCCUUUGAAACCACGUAGGAUAAUUAAGUGUUUUUCAGAGAGGAAACACCUCCUGCGCCAGCUCCCUGCCCUGCGGGCACUUGCUGCAACGUGCCAGGAAAGGGGCAGGCUCGUGCCUCCGACCCAGCAGGCCUCACUGAACUGCACAUGUGGCUCGGGUCAGAUCCUGGCUCUUAGCCCACGUCUACACCCGGGCAGGCUAAUCUUGUUUUGGCCGGGCAGGCAGCCGCAGGUCCUGGGUGACUCAAGCCAACCCCUCAAAUUUGCUAAGCAUGGGAGCUGCUGAUUCCCCCACGUCAAUCAGGGGUGCAUGCAGUACCGGGACAGAGGGAUGAAGGAAGGUGCAGGAUCUUUGGUGGAUGCUGAAGCCCCGUUCCUUGCUGAAUAUGUGCAGCUCCAAUGCCAACCUCUGCUCCCCCAAAUGUGCCUCUCAUAGCCCGGAAGGACUGGAGCCAGGGAGGACGCCUGCAUCCGGCGAUAAGGCUGCAGGAGGUGGGCUCUGCUCUGCACAAACUGGACCCCGAUGCAGCUCACGUCUCACAGGCCGGGCUGCUCCCGAAUGGCAGGAGCUUCCUUCCUGAAAACAGCUCAGAGGGCACCAAGGGCGACUCAUUCACAUCCCAUUUCCCUCCCUCAGCCACAACCCCGAGCCUCCCGGGCCUGGAAAACUUCUGGCUGCCUCCCGUAAAGAGCAAUGCACGUCAAACCCCUGGGGUCAGAGGAGACGGUACGGCUGCUAGAAGCUAAUCCAGGCUGGAGAGAGGCGAUAUGAAACCCACUGGAGAAAAACAGGUUUCAAGCCAACCUUCGAGUGAGGCGGGGAGAGGAGAGAGCAUUUGUGAACCACCGCCGAGGCAGAGCCAGGCAAAGAAAAUGCAUAGCCCGUUCACGCCAUAAAGGACUAUUAGAGCAUUUAUAGAGCAUUUAACGUGGUCUCCUGUGUAAUGCAAGCAACAGAAAUACCCCAAACAGAGUCCAACGCCUGGCGCUGGCUGCAGCAGAUCUCCUGCACCCAGACGGGGCCGGAGCCAUUCAUGCCCAUCCCAACAAGACUAACCAAUUACUCUGCUAAAGCGAGAACAUUGCGAGCAGAGUUGACCAAACACGUUUUCCCCGCCAAGGCGAGAGCCAGUCGAAAGGACGCCUGCCAGCUCCUUCGUGAUGAUGAAACCUCCGAAGAGCAGGUGCCGGAGCUGACUGCAUCCAUUUAUCCAUUUGAUAAACGGCAGGAGAGGAAAUUGCAUCUCCCAACGAAGAGGAGCUGCCGCCAUCUGUGGAUUUCCUAAUCAAGUGUGACAUGACAUGCAGGCCGGCUCCGGCAGAGGCGGCUCGAUAAUAAGAUUUCAGAAGUUGCUGACCCAGAGGAUCCUAGGAUGGGUCCCGAGCCCCAAACCUUCUAGUGCUCUGUGGCUUUUCCAAGGAUAAAGUGGUGCUAACUGAUAACGUGCAUUAUAUUGCUGUGGGUACCAGGAGAGGCAGGUCCGUAGACGUCUACGGGGACCCAGUCCUUGAUUUCCAGGCACGGCGGUUCUACCUGCAACUUGCAGAAGAGAUUUGGGUCGAACGCUACAGCUGAGUGACGUGGUUCAUGGGCACGUGCACCCCAGCAGAGAAGAGGGAACAUCUGGGGCUAACGAAAGGGGAGGCUGGCACUCCAAGGUGGACUGCCCACCCAUGGCUAGGGGUGGGAAGGAGCUGGAGGAGGCCGUGAGGCUGGCAGAGGGUGAGAUGCGACUAGAUGCAAGACGCCGGCUGGCAGAGCUGUGCAGAGCACUGCGAUGCAGCAGGCAGAGGCAUUGGGCAGGUUCAGAGAGCAGUGGAGCCUGCUCCAUGCCGGAUGAGCAGGAGGAGGAUGACAAGGAGGGCUUUCCAGGCUCCUGAUCCCAUGCUGCUUGCACUUCCCUAUCCCCUGUGCAUGGGAGCAUCGAGGUUUGACUUUAACGCUCCCGCCUGGCUGAACCGGAGGACGAGACACGCCAGCACCAGAGCUCGCCUAGUCCAGGCCUCUGCUUUUGGCUGCAUUAAACCGCGCCUGGCAGACGGUGUCUCCUCCCCUGGUCUGGAGACCCUCCAGCGGGAGGGUUUCCACCACCUGCCACCGAACACAUCCGGUGCCUAAUGCCCUCAUAUCAGACCUCAGCUGUCCUGGUCCUGUCCUCCGGCAGCCCUCAAGCACAGCUGAUUGCCUCCCACUUUGCAGCAGCUUUUACACGGUUGAAGACUUCCUCUGGCUUCUCUUCUCCAGACUAAAACAAGCUCACGUCUUUCAAUCUUUCCCCGCAGAUGGUGCUUUCUAGGCCUCGGACCAUGCUCGUUGCUCUGUGCUGGUCUCUCUCCCAACAGCUGACAUCCUUCUUUCCGAGGCCUUGCUGGUACCGAACGGCGGGGAAAGAUGAUUUCACCCAUCUCCCAUAUCACCGCCAGGUUGUGCAUCCCAGCACGACACCUGCUUCCCUCCCGGCUUCAACAGCAGCACGAUCCCGACGAUGACUCACUUUCUGUCUGUGAUCCUCCAUCACACCCCGAUGCUCAGCCAGUCACUCCCCCUCCCGGGUUUGGGAUCUUGAUUAUUCUUACCUAAGUGCCGUACUUUGCACUUGUCCUCCUUCAAGCGCAACCCAGUUAUUUCAGGCCCUUCCUCCAAUACAUCGAGAUCCUUUUGAAUUCUGAUCUUUUCCACCUAGCACGACGCAUCCCGUAACCUCAGAGAGAGAGAGACUCGCUUCUACUGAAUUUCUAGAACAAGCGUUUGCGUGACGGCCAAGAGGAAAUGGAGAGGAACAAAAACAACUUCGUGAACAAAUCCGCCAGGCAGAGGAUGGAAACACAAGACUGAGAGCUUCUCUCUGGAAACCUCCCAGAUCAAGAACAAAGUUGACUGAUGCAGAAGCCAAAGUAAUACCAUAGCUAGGAGAUGGAGCUGUUUUCCAUUCACUCCCUCCUCCACUGGAAGAAAGCAACGCAGGGAAAUUCGGAUAUAAAAUGGCAAAACUGAGACUCAAAUGACAAGACCGUGGCCCAACAAAUCUAUAAAGCUAGCGGGAGGUUCAGUCUGUGCAAAGAAAGCAAAAGGCACAUAAUAAGGGUCACAGAGCUCACACAGAUUGAGUUAUAACCAUAUAGGUUAUAUAUUGGGUUAUAUAGCAUUGGGUUAUAACAAUAUAGAUUAUACCUUGGGUUAUAUAGCAUUCGGUUUUAACAACACAGAUUAUAUAUUGGGUUAUACAGCAUUGGGUUAUAACAAUAUAGGUUAUAUAUUGGGUUAUAUAGCAUUGGGUUAUAACAAUAUAGGCUAUAUAUUGGUUUAUAUAGCAUUGGGUUAUAACCACAUAGGUUAUAUGUUGGGUUAUGUAGCACUGGGUUAUAAUCAUAUAGGUUAUAUAUUGAGUUAUAACAAUAUCAGUUAUAGAUUGGGCUAUAAAGCAUUGAGUUAUAACAAUAUAGGCUAUAUAUUGGGUUAUAUAGCAUUGGGUUAUAACAAUAUAGGUUAUAUAUUAGGUUAUAAAGCAUUGAGUUAUAACAAUACAGGCUAUAUAUUGGUUUA
Molecule: long non-coding RNA, 3913 nt
Organism: Alligator mississippiensis (American alligator)
Lineage: Eukaryota; Metazoa; Chordata; Crocodylia; Alligatoridae
Exons: 2
Source: RefSeq, a predicted model, not a curated record